GGCAGCGCGGGGCAACCUGGCGGCGAGUGGCGAACGGGUGAGUAAUAUAUCGGAACGUACCCAAGAGUGGGGGAUAACGUAGCGAAAGUUACGCUAAUACCGCAUACGAUCCAAGGAUGAAAGCAGGGGACCGCAAGGCCUUGUGCUCCUGGAGCGGCCGAUAUCUGAUUAGCUAGUUGGUGAGGUAAAGGCUCACCAAGGCGACGAUCAGUAGCUGGUCUGAGAGGACGACCAGCCACACUGGAACUGAGACACGGUCCAGACUCCUACGGGAGGCAGCAGUGGGGAAUUUUGGACAAUGGGCGCAAGCCUGAUCCAGCAAUGCCGCGUGAGUGAAGAAGGCCUUCGGGUUGUAAAGCUCUUUUGUCAGGGAAGAAACGGCUGUGGCUAAUAUCCACGGCUAAUGACGGUACCUGAAGAAUAAGCACCGGCUAACUACGUGCCAGCAGCCGCGGUAAUACGUAGGGUGCAAGCGUUAAUCGGAAUUACUGGGCGUAAAGCGUGCGCAGGCGGUUUUGUAAGUCUGACGUGAAAUCCCCGGGCUCAACCUGGGAAUUGCGUUGGAGACUGCAAGGCUGGAGUCUGGCAGAGGGGGGUAGAAUUCCACGUGUAGCAGUGAAAUGCGUAGAGAUGUGGAGGAACACCGAUGGCGAAGGCAGCCCCCUGGGUCAAGACUGACGCUCAUGCACGAAAGCGUGGGGAGCAAACAGGAUUAGAUACCCUGGUAGUCCACGCCCUAAACGAUGUCUACUAGUUGUCG
Molecule: ribosomal RNA, 760 nt
Filed under: Massilia sp.
Lineage: Bacteria; Pseudomonadati; Pseudomonadota; Betaproteobacteria; Burkholderiales; Oxalobacteraceae
Description: bacterial SSU rRNA
Rfam family: Bacterial small subunit ribosomal RNA
Source: RNAcentral